This 75-nucleotide transfer RNA is filed under the name Candidatus Cloacimonadota bacterium. RNAcentral describes it as "tRNA-Gly". It matches the Rfam family "tRNA". From Rfam's summary of the family: Transfer RNA (tRNA) molecules are approximately 80 nucleotides in length. Lineage: Bacteria; Pseudomonadati; Candidatus Cloacimonadota. The record is from RNAcentral.
GCGGGUGUAGCUCAGUGGUAGAGCAUCAGCUUCCCAAGCUGGUGGUCGCGGGUUCAAGUCCCGUUACCCGCUCCA